UUAGUUCGAUGCUUGGGCAGUUGAAUCUACAGAAAGAGAAGGGUCGUGGAGUCGCGUAAAAUUAAAGAAAUCAAUAUGGACUCAUUCUUUAAUGACAUUAGGCUAUCUCCGAUUAUCACUGGGAACACGGCUGAUAUUAGUGCGAAAGUCAACUAAUACAACUCAGAGCUGUCCAGAAUUCUGGAUCAUCAUGCACCACUUAUCACCAGAGAGAUAAUUAGUCGUCCAGCUGCACCUUGGUACACUGAACAAAUUAAAAACGAAAAACGUAUCAGAAGGAAACUCGAGCGGAUGUGAAGAGAGGAC
Long non-coding RNA from Dendronephthya gigantea, 306 nucleotides. RefSeq lists it as uncharacterized. The record is from RefSeq and is a predicted model, not a curated record. The transcript is spliced from 3 exons. NCBI's taxonomy places the organism in Eukaryota, Metazoa, Cnidaria, Anthozoa, Malacalcyonacea, Nephtheidae.